RNAcentral lists this ribosomal RNA (368 nucleotides) under uncultured organism. Its description in RNAcentral is "bacterial SSU rRNA". It matches the Rfam family "Bacterial small subunit ribosomal RNA", at positions 526 to 896 of the family's 1533-position model. The record is from RNAcentral.
CGGAGGGUGCAAGCGUUAUCCGGAUUCACUGGGUUUAAAGGGUGCGUAGGCGGAUUAGUAAGUCCGUGGUGAAAUCUCCAAGCUUAACUUGGAAACUGCCGUGGAUACUAUUAGUCUUGAAUGUUGUGGAGGUUAGCGGAAUAUGUCAUGUAGCGGUGAAAUGCAUAGAUAUGACAUAGAACACCAAUUGCGAAGGCAGCUGGCUACACAAAUAUUGACGCUGAUGCACGAAAGCGUGGGGAUCAAACAGGAUUAGAUACCCUGGUAGUCCACGCCCUAAACGAUGAUUACUCGACAUUUGCGAUAUACAGUAAGUGUCUGAGCGGAAGCAUUAAGUAAUCCACCUGGGAAGUACGACCGCAAGGUUG